GGCUGCGGCGCCGCGGACCACUGGAGGCGCAGCGCCGCCGCCGCCGCCGCCGCCGCCGCCGCCGCUGUGGGUGCCGGAGACCGCGGCUCCACGCAGGCGGCGCCCGCGCCUCGGCUCCCCGGCCGGCCCGCGCGCCCGUCCGCCGGGGCCGUCUCCCGCCUCCCGUCGCUGCCACCACACCAUCGGCUGCACCGUUGCUCGUCUUCCCGGAAUACAAAGCCCGAAUCCAUGUUCACCUUGAAUCUUCACAAUAUUUUGGAGCAGAUGUUUUUAUCCUCGUAUUAUAGAAUAGAAAAUUGAAGUGCAGAUGUUGAACAGUUUACCCAAAACCGAAAAUAAGAAAAGAAAUGAAACCGUAUUUUUAGAAGUAAAAUGUGAUGUCGCAGAAGCAUCAUCAGUUGAGUUGCAUACACAGCCGGACUGUCUCUUGUAGUUCGGCUUCUGUUGCUGACAUCAGGAUUGUCUCCUGAAAUGGGAUUUUCCUGUCGAUUUUGGAUUUUUUGCAUGUUGCCUAGACACUCCAUGGGAAAAUGCAGUUACAGGAAGUUGCUAGUGUGCGGCUGAGCAGUGAAAGCAUCUGAAAAGAUUGCUCUUGUGGGAUCACUGGAUUGUGUCCAUUAAGCCAAGUUCUUGCCCCCAGAAUGCUGGUUCUGUUAUGGGCUUAGCUCAGAGGUAAUUGACUCUUGAGCCCCCUGAGGCAAGUCAAGGACUCCCUGUGGUAAAGAACCUCUUUGUCUCCCCUGCAUUCUGGGGCUUGGUUGUUUCUACUAGACUAUUCACAUCGACUGUAAAUUCUAACCACCAUAAAACAAGCCUCUGGAAGGCCCACUUGUGCACAGCCAAGAGAUUGCCACUUAUCAAAUGCCUAAAAAUCAAGAGAAAAAAGAAAAGAAGAGGAAAUAUAAACCUGAACAAAAAUAAAAAUAAAGAACUUGAGCAGCAUUGGUGAAAUUUAGGUGGGCCUGGGGUAUUGCCAGCUAUUUUAGUGUUGGGUAGAAGCAUCACUCGGAAAUACCUAAUAAGCACACCUAAUAAGCUUAUUAUAAGCAUAUUAGGUGCUACUUGAAGGAACUGCAUUGUAAAGUGAAUACAUAACCUCUUAAUAAGUGAGUCUGUCAUUAUUGAAUGAACCUGAUGGAAGGCACCCUGUGUGGGUAGAUGAGGCUGUGAGCAUGCUGUUUUGGAAAAGGCUUCCCUGCUCUUCACACGCCCUGGAUUGUAGCAGCAGCAGGAGCUGAGUUGGAAGUCGGUGUUUAUUUCUCCACUCACAGUGUGUGUUGUUAAAGAUCAACAAAGAAUAUCGUCCGAUUCAUGACCCUGAUGUCAGUUGUUUUAUGGUUAGAAAAGAACAGCAUGGUUCUAUUUCAUGAAAGAAGGCUCAGGAAGUACUGCUGUCUGUCCCUGCAACAGUGUCUGGUUCCUUUUCCUGCAAGGAGGAGAAUGGAGAUGUUUGUGUCUUCAGUCCCAGUGUUUCUCCUGAGCUUUGGUUUGGGGAUUUGAAGACAAAGAGUGUCAGACUUUUCUCUUGGAAUGUUUCAAACAUGUACAAGAUAAACAGAAUAGUAUGGUGGAUCCCCAUGUACCCAUCACCCAACCUCAAC
Molecule: long non-coding RNA, 1601 nt
Organism: Bos taurus (domestic cattle)
Lineage: Eukaryota; Metazoa; Chordata; Mammalia; Artiodactyla; Bovidae
Source: Ensembl